CGGCCCGGGGCUGGGGCUGCGGCUGGGGGCCGGCGGCGGGCCGGGGUCCCCCAUGGGCCGGCGGGGCUGCCCCGGCCCCACGGAGAGACAAAGGAGAGCACUUUAUUGAGCCUCACACUGUUAUGGGGUUCUACUGCUGUUCAUCUUCCUUGUCCUGCAUACUUCUAAUAGAUCUGCGGUCAAUCAGAACUACAUGCAGUGCUUUGGAUGCGGGUGCAGUCGGGGUUUGUAUGGUGGUGCAGUGGUUUGUCUUUUGCCUUUUCUUUCUCCUAUCUAUAAUGGUUGCAACAUUUUGUUUGCAUUUUCUGUCUGCUGGAGAGCGCUGGACAGAUGUUUGCAAAGAGGUCUUAACAAGUAGUCCAAGAUUCUUCCUGGAGUGAUUAUUUAUAAUUUAUCACAGUGUAUGUGCAAUUGUGUGUUUUUCUCCCCCAAGUGUAUUUAUGUGUGUCUAUCGAUAAUAAAUGAUGCGUGGUUUUAUGUUACUGAAUCACUCGGCAUUCAGUAUGACAAUGCCUUUUGAAGUAUUGACUGUUGUAAGCGAUUUCUAUCAUCAGCAGACUUAGCCAACUCAUUAUUAAUCCCCUUUUCCAGAUCAUCUGUGAAUGUACUGAAGAAAACAAGUUCAAGUGCGGAUCCCUGAUCUCUGGUCUCCCAUGGUGAAAACAAUUUAUUACUACGCUUCAACAAAUCAUUAAUCUACCAAAGAAUUUUCGUCCUUAUGAUAACUUAGUUUCUUUAAGAGCCUUUAGAGAGAGAUCUUGUCAAAACACUUUGACUUCUGGAAAUCCGAGAACAUUACAGCAAUCCGCAUUCACCAACAUGCAGGCUUCGUUCAAGAAUUGUAACAUCGUCAAGUUCAUCAACCCAUGUCAGGCUGUAAAACGUACAUUUAGUCAGGUUUCUUCUGCAGGUAUGACGUUAUUUGUGUACCAAAAAUAGUGGUGAGCACUUUCAUUACUUGUACAGAGGCUUCUAGCAGUUAGUGACAGUUUCUAAGUGAACUUAUUGCUAUGCUGCCAGAAACUCCAGAGCGAGGCACAGAUUUCCAUUGACCCUGAAUGCAGCAUGGUUUCUUUGUGAUAGAAGUCUUCUAUUUAUUUUCCAUAAAUGACAUAUCCCUGAAGCAACAGCGAGGGAAUGAAAGUUACAUUUUAUCACUGUAACAUUUGCAGAAAAGUGAACUGCUAAACUCCCUAUUCAUAAUGAAACUUUGACUAGCCAUGAGUUCUUAAAAAGCUUACCUGCAGGUGCAUAGCUUUUUUUUUUUCCUUUAAAAAUUUAUAUCUGAGCCUUAUGAACUUCUGAUUAAACUUUUAAAAUAAAUUAAGGGUGAGAGGAUUAGACAGGGAAUUGGAAAUGAACUGUGGUAUCUUUUGCCUCUAGCUCAGCAUUUUGAAGGCAGCCCAAAUGAGAUGUGACAAAGUGCAGCGCUCUCGUUUCUUUCUGCUGACCUAUGUAACCAAGCAUAUAACUUUUAAAGUGACAAGAAAUCCCCCACAGAAAUUACAGAAAAACAGAAUAAAGCAAAUGCUUGCUAUUCAAGAGGUUUGCCAUCACAGUAUCUGAAAACCUUAUUAUAAAGGUAAUAAGCAAAGCAUGACUACUCAUCUGUCUUAUUUUGUUUUUUAUCCAUCUUAUGGAAAAAGAAAUGUGCAUAUUAGAAUAUUACGUUUGUUUUGAUGAAUUUUUAUCCAGUAACAUAUGUUGUGCUAUGCGAAUGUAUAUAUAAAUGAAGAAAUAUGCUUUGCAUUUGGAAUAAAAGGGUGUCAACCACUUUCUAAUUUUUAUGAGGUCCUCAGGAAAACCCUAAAUCUUUUCUCCCUACAAUGAGUUGUAAUCUUACUGUGUAGCAUUCAUUGUGUAAUUGUUGACCAUGGUCUUUUCUCUGGCAGUGUAUUGAUCUUAGUCCCAGGACAUGAAAUGCCUUACAGAGCAAGACUUAGCACAUUCAUUGUCCUGUGGGAAGAUGCUGGAGAAACUGUAAAGCCAGUGGGUGGCAUUUGCAAUAGCUUCUGUUGUGGAGGAAGGGAUCUGCUGUCUCUGUAGCAAACUGGAGCCACCACAGUGCUACAGAUCUCUAUCCUGGGAUGCGUCAUCCAGCCAAGGCCAAUAGAAGAAGCUUGAGUAACUGAGGUCUGCUGGCUGGCAAAGUGUCUUGGGUCCAGCUGGCAUCAAGAGAGCGCGCUGUGCAUGGAUGUUGCCCUGUGAGAGCUUUAUAGCCCUGACGAAUGCAGGAGUAUUGCUGGAGUGUGGACUGAGUUGGUAAACAAGUCUUAUCUGGGUGAAGGGAUCUGCACGCUCAAUGCUAAACUCUAAGCUCUUCCCUCUGACACAGCUAUUGGCUUUUUGAUUGUUUAUCCUUAAUCUUAUGUAGAGAUUGCACAAACUGGAAAAAGGUAGUGUGCUUUGUUUUAAUAGGACAGACAUUUGAAUUCUGAAUGAAGGCUUUGAAAACAUGAACUUGUGACACUAAACUAACUCUGUAUAACCUUUGUGUACUUGCUGAGUUAUUUGCAGAAUUAGUUUUGGGUUAUCUUUUUUCUUCUUUCUGGGCAGUACAUAUACAGUGCUGCAGUAUUUCUAUCCUCUUAUCCAGGUGCAAAUGGGAUCAGAAUCAGGGAAGGGAACCCAGCUGGCAUUGAUUUAAUCAUGCUGGCACUGCCCUCGUUCCUUCCCCAUCUCAAGUACAUCUGAUGUGAUUUGGCAUCUGGGGUAAACUCUAGGCAGUACUGUGUGUGUGUGUCAGGAUACUUUAGACCUCAUUGCUGGUUAAGGUGUUACUGUCUGCUCUGCUUUCUAGAAACUGCCUCUACAUUUUGGCAUUAUUAGUUGGGUUUGACUUCUGUGGCCCUCACUUAUAAGUAUCUUAGUGCAGAAGUCAUUUUUCUCUCUCUGUUAUAAACUGUGUUCAAGCAUAGUCUUUAAAUUUGAUAAGUAGAUGUGCCACAGUUUUGAAACUCUCAUUUCCUUCACUAAGCCUAAAAUAAUUUGAGGUAGUUGGUUGUGUGGACAAAGUUUGAUCCUUGAUUCAUACAGGAGCUGUUUUGUGAUGUGUAUUCCAUCUAAAUGGUAUGGUUUUGUUUCACUUGUACUGACUUUGUCAUGUAAUGAACACAAUGGAUUGGAUGCCUUAGUCCAAAAAUGUGUUUUUAUGGCACAGUUGCCUAGAGCACCAAAUUUUUGCACUUCUGUUGUGUACAAAUCCAAACAGGUAAAACCCACUUGCUCUAUUCAUUGCGUUAUGUGUAGAUUUAAAUAUCUUGUGUGCAGGUAUUAGUCACAUUCCAAGACAAGUUCUUAAAAAGAAAGUCAUUCAUAUUCCACAACAUUAGUUUUCAAUUAUUGCCUAACACAUUUAGUACUUUGAUGCCCUUCAACUCUCUAACCGUAUCUCAGUGGAAGUCAAUGACUAUUUGCUUUACUUUAUCCAAAAAGACAAAAGUAGUUUUAUGUCAUUCCUAAAUCUGCACAUCAUAUUAAAAAUACAGUGCUUUUUCUGCCUGUUUUAUACUGUGUCCAUUUUGUGUCACACAUGGAAUCUCAGUCAAAAUACUUCAAGUUGUUUCCUUUCUUGCAUAAAACCUUCUCCAGCCACAUGAGGAAUUUACUCAUAAAAAAACCCCCACAACACUAAACACCAAGUAAUUCUGUACUAAUAAGUGAUCCAAUAAGCUUUCAAUUCAACAGCAGUACAACUAUUGCCUCCAUAAGUAAAGUUGGUACAUUUUGAAGGAGGGGAAGAGUACUGUAGCUUGUUUUCAGAAUAGGCAAUUACCUGUAUCACUUACCUGUACCACUUAGGUUCUGGAGAAGCAAGGCUGUGAAGGCUCUGAAAUCUGAAGAUACUCCUAUUUUGUAGAAGUUGGUUGUACAUAUUGCCACUAUAAUGAUUCUUAGGACUUCUGAAAUGUAAGGAACAUGCAAUGUUAUUAUCUUGGCAGUCCUUCCCAGGUGUCUCAUUAGCUAGCAGUCCUGCUCAUAUCUACUGCCACAUGUUAAGGGUGCAAUGGCCAGAAUCCUUUUUACAGCAACAGAGCUGUAGGGUGUUGUCUUUCUGGCUUUUCUGGUAGUAAUUUCUGCAUUUUCAGUGCAAGGCUGGAAUUUAUAAGUUCAGUGAUUGUUUUACUCAUUGACCAUCCAGAGUUUAUACAUACUGGCAAAUCUGGCCAGUCUGGAAUGACUGAAUCUGGUAAAAUAUGGAAUGACUGAAUCUUCUGUUAAAACUCAAAGUAAAAAGGAGUAUUUGAGGUUUUUCACAUUCAAGUUUCCUCCAUCUCUCAGUUUUUAGUACUUUGUGUUCUUGGCAGCUUUUGGAAGGUUCAGAAAGCACAAACACUAAAAUAUAUGGGGACACUUCAGUUACAAUUAUCUUCCCAACACUGGCAAUCCCAAAUCAACCUCAAACAGCCUGAAAAGAACUUCUCAACGUGAGAGGAAAUUCCAGAGAAUUCUAUGCAAGCUUAAGUAUACUGGUAAUGGUAUUGCAAUUUGGAGGAUGGCCAAAGCAAUGCAGGAGAGCAGGAUGCACAGAACUGUCAGAGUGGAGUUCUAAUAAACAAUGGCUGCUGCAGGUGCCUAAGUGUUGGCAGUGCUUUUUUAGCCCACUGCAGGACCAGCAGUGAAGAGACUGAACCAGGAAUGACCUAAGAACAAACCAGGAAGCUGGGGCAAAUUAAAGUCAAGAGGUUUCUCACCUUUACCCACUAAGCCAAUCUCAGUAAACUCCCAGCAGUGAAACAGUUAAUGGAGGUACUACAACAGCUAGUUUCAGAUUGACUUGCUUAAGAUAUUUCUGGCACAGAAGGGAGUUACAGAAACUUUUUAACAUAUUCCCACGUGCUGGUGUUUAAACAGAAAUGAAGAAAUAGAGCAGGACUCUUGGGGUGGGGUGGUCAUGUUUUUCUCCUGCACCGAGUCUCACUAAAGCAAGACUUCAUCCUGACAGUGUAAGCAAGAGCGUGGUCCUCAUCCCUUCCUUCAGCUCAGUGCUCUGUGCACAUCCCACUCAGGAAGAAGAUUAUGGUGUUUGCCCUAGUCAACACGUGGGUUUACCAGGCUCUGUGCUUCCCCACUACUGGAUCCAAGAGCAAAGUGUCAACUUUUUGCUUGGUCUUCUUGGUCCUUGUGUGCUACACUCUUAAAAGUGCAGAUCAGGCAGCUAUCAGAGCAGGAAUUAUAGCGUUCUAAAAUGCGACAAUUUCAUAUUUCACAAUUAAACCGAUGGGGACAUUAAAGAAGGGUUGCUUUUGUAAAAGAAUACAGCAUGGUAAGAGAUAAUCUGCCUUUUAUUAGGUCAGCUGGAAAUAAGGCUUGAAAUACGAAUUUCUGUGUUUAUACAGGAUAAAAUCCUAUCCAGUGUUUCUGAUGUCACAUAGUAAUAUUGGAUGGAGAUAAGAUGAUUUACAUUUAUUGCAUGUCAUGUAAUGUAAUAAUCACCUAAAAAAGCUUUCCUUUCUCCUGAUUUAAAAGGAGAUCACAUUGUGCCAGGAAAAAUAUGAAAAUAACAGAUUUUGUGAACAGUGGGUAUGCGAAUGUAUAUUAGCUUACAAUGCCUACAGUUUGGGAGAGCGCAGAAAAGAUGUUUAUUCUCAACCUGAUUUUUUUGAAUGCUCAGUAAUAAAACAGGUACUUCUAAAGAAUUUAAACUGGAAAAUUAAGGGUUUUAUAAAACAAUGACUAAUUUGUGGAGGUGUGUUUUUUAGCUAGUUUUAUAUGCUUAGAUAGCGGUAGAAUUUGCCCUCAAAGCUGUUAAAACUAUAGUAAUUUUGCACAAUCAAUGAUUUCUAACUGUAUUUAUCAACCUUAGUAUUUAGUGGUCCAUGUAUAUUGCUCACACAUCAAACUGUAUGAAAAAAAAUAGCACAGCAAAACAUCAGAGUGACAGAGGCAAGGUAUAUCUGUGUAUACACUCUAUCAACUUUUUAUGUAAAGUGUUGUUUCCUAAUGCUGGGAUUUUUCAUGCUUUGUUUUCCCAACUAAGAUCAGGGCCGCUGGUGGAACAGCUCCAUGAAGAGAAAUGUAAGCAAUGCUUUCAUGACUAAUUCAGAGCCUGUGGGCUGGAACACUCAUUUGGGUAAUGAGAUAAUAUCACCAUCAGAUCUUAAAUAAGAGUUUCCAACAUUAGAGUAUGAACAACCACGCUACUUGCAAUGCAAUUUUUUGUUCUAUUUGGUGUUGUCCUGGAAGUACUAAAUCAUUUCUCAUCAAGGUGUUUUCAAAAUCUCAUGUGAUCUUUAUGGUAUGACUCAUUUGACAGCAUUUCUAGUGGAAAACCCAGUAAACUCUGGGCUGCAUUCCAGUAAUAUAUCACACAUGAUUGUUUUAUACAAAUUUGGUAGACUUGAAGUGACUUAGACUGGUAGACUUGAAGUAUAUAUGGGUCCCAUGUUUGCCACCUAAUUCUGUUAUUCAUUUAAAAGCCGUGCUUCAAAAAAUGUGGAAUAAGGUCAAAACAGAUUUGAAAUUAAAGUUAGAUCUCUGUUAUCUGUUUGCUGUUUUUCUUGACUAUAUCAUCUAUUUAAGUUUUAACUUUUAGACCAGUGAUAGAUUGAAAUGUGCUUUGUUUUUGUUAAUGAAAGGUGGGAUUUCCUUCUAUUCCCUUGUGUCUAAGACUUGCAUCUCUAAGGUGGCAUGAUGAGUCAUUAUAAUGCUAAGAGAAGUGGUAAUAUUUCUCAAAAGAAACUGGUAUCAAAUGAUGCACAGCGAUCUCUUGAUGCUACACUGUUGUGGUGUCAUUGGUGGGA
Molecule: long non-coding RNA, 6743 nt
Organism: Tympanuchus pallidicinctus (lesser prairie-chicken)
Lineage: Eukaryota; Metazoa; Chordata; Aves; Galliformes; Phasianidae
Exons: 3
Source: RefSeq, a predicted model, not a curated record